GGCCUGCGGUUAGCACACACCCAUCCCUGCGCACUGCUGGUCUGGAAAGCGGGGCUGCUUCUCAGGAAUGAGCUUGAGCCCAGCCAAGCCCCGCGAGGCACUGAAGCUUUAGCUUACCCCGAUCCGAAUGGUCGUGGGCCUCUGGGCUCAAGUUACGACCGAAUUUUUCUGGGAAGCAAGGGACACGUUCAGAAAGAAUCUCAGGAUCACUCUCCGAACUUGGCCUGAGUCUAGGCAAGCAGUGUUACUCGGUUGCCUCGAUCUUGGAGCUGCUGUGUACUGGGGACCGCAAACUAGUUGAGUUAACUAUAUUCCCAGUAGUAGCAUACGGGAUCACAGUACUCGGGACUAGCUGAGCUCAGCUGCUAUAAGUAACAUGACCUGGAAAGAGAGCACUAGCAAGGAAUGAGGAGUGAUAUAGUGACUGGCGGCUCAGAGAUAAUGUCUACAAGUCACCUAAAACCAUUGCAGAUACAGGGAGAUUGGCUGUUAUGAAUUUGGAGAAUUUCUAGUUGUGAAGACUCUGAUGAUUACUAAAGAGUUAAAUGAAAUA
Saimiri boliviensis boliviensis (Bolivian squirrel monkey) is the source of this 553-nucleotide long non-coding RNA. RefSeq lists it as uncharacterized. The record is from RefSeq and is a predicted model, not a curated record. Lineage: Eukaryota; Metazoa; Chordata; Mammalia; Primates; Cebidae.